RNAcentral lists this ribosomal RNA (254 nucleotides) under uncultured bacterium. RNAcentral describes it as "partial 16S ribosomal RNA". It matches the Rfam family "Bacterial small subunit ribosomal RNA", at positions 524 to 776 of the family's 1533-position model. The record is from RNAcentral.
CACGUAGGGUGCGAGCGUUGUCCGGAAUUAUUGGGCGUAAAGAGCUCGUAGGCGGUGUGUCGCGUCGGCCGUGAAAACCUGCAGCUUAACUGUGGGCUUGCGGUCGAUACGGGCAUCACUGGAGUUCGGCAGGGGAGACUGGAAUUCCUGGUGUAGCGGUGAAAUGCGCAGAUAUCAGGAGGAACACCCGUGGCGAAAGCGGCUCUCUGGGACGGUACUGACGCUGAGACGCGAAAGCGUGGGGAGCAAACAGG